This 467-nucleotide ribosomal RNA is filed under the name uncultured bacterium. Its description in RNAcentral is "partial 16S ribosomal RNA". It matches the Rfam family "Bacterial small subunit ribosomal RNA", at positions 29 to 507 of the family's 1533-position model. The record is from RNAcentral.
ACGCACGCUGGCGGCGUGCUUCACCCCUGCCAGUCGCACGGAAAGGCCCUGCUUUUGUGGGGUGCUCGAGUGGCGAACGGGUGAGUAACACGUGAGUAACCUGCCCUUGACUUUGGGAUAACUUCAGGAAACUGGGGCUAAUACCGGAUAGGAGCUCCUGCUGCAUGGUGGGGGUUGGAAAGUUUCGGCGGUUGGGGAUGGACUCGCGGCUUAUCAGCUUGUUGGUGGGGUAGUGGCUUACCAAGGCUUUGACGGGUAGCCGGCCUGAGAGGGUGACCGGCCACAUUGGGACUGAGAUACGGCCCAGACUCCUACGGGAGGCAGCAGUGGGGAAUAUUGCACAAUGGGCGGAAGCCUGAUGCAGCAACGCCGCGUGCGGGAUGACGGCCUUCGGGUUGUAAACCGCUUUCGCCUGUGACGAAGCGUGAGUGACGGUAAUGGGCAAAGAAGCACCGGCUAACUACGUG